AACGCACCUUGCACCCCGUGGUAUUCCGCGGGGUACGCCUGUUUGAGUGUCACGUUCAUCCUCGCAUCAAAGACUUUAUUGACUUUGAUACGGAUUUGGAGGUCUGCCGUAGUCGGCUCCUCUUGAAAUGUAUUAGCUGUCUAAGGAUUGCGCAUGAGUGUGAUAAUUCCAUGUCUCGCAUGUGCACAGUCUGGUGAAGGCUCAUAAAGCACCCUAAUUUUUGUGACUUUGGCCUCAAAUCAGGUGGGACUACCCGCUGAACUUAA
Molecule: unclassified non-coding RNA, 266 nt
Filed under: uncultured fungus
Lineage: Eukaryota; Fungi
Description: partial contains 5.8S ribosomal RNA, internal transcribed spacer 2, and large subunit ribosomal RNA
Rfam family: 5.8S ribosomal RNA (bases 1-52)
Source: RNAcentral